AAGGCUUUAAGUUAAAUUAAACUAUUAGUCUUCAAAAUUAUUUAUAAAGAAAAUUGCUUCUUUAAGCCUUA
RNAcentral lists this transfer RNA (71 nucleotides) under Pyrinioides aurea. RNAcentral's name for it is "tRNA-Trp". The record is from RNAcentral. Lineage: Eukaryota; Metazoa; Arthropoda; Insecta; Lepidoptera; Thyrididae.